AGUGAACGCUGGCGGUAGGCCUAACACAUGCAAGUCGAACGGCAGCACAGUAAGAGCUUGCUCUUACUGGUGGCGAGUGGCGGACGGGUGAGGCAUACAUCGGAAUCUACUUUUUCGUGGGGGAUAACGUAGGGAAACUUACGCUAAUACCUCAUACGACCUACGGGUGAAAGCAGGGGAUCUUCGGACCUUGCGCGAUUGAAUUAGCCGAUUUCGGAUUAGCUAGUUGGCGGGGUAAAGGCCCACCAAGGCGACGAUCCGUAGCUGGUCUGAGAGGAUGAUCAGCCACACUGGAACUGAGACACGGUCCAGACUCCUACGGGAGGCAGCAGUGGGGAAUAUUGGACAAUGGGCGAAAGCCUGAUCCAGCCAUACCGCGUGGGUGAAGAAGGCCUUCGGGUUGUAAAGCCCUUUUGUUGGGAAAGAAAAGCAGCAGGUUAAUACCCCGCUGUUCUGACGGUACCCAAAGAAUAAGCACCGGCUAACUUCGUG
This 492-nucleotide ribosomal RNA is filed under the name uncultured bacterium. Its description in RNAcentral is "partial 16S ribosomal RNA". It matches the Rfam family "Bacterial small subunit ribosomal RNA", at positions 29 to 507 of the family's 1533-position model. The record is from RNAcentral.